This 840-nucleotide ribosomal RNA is filed under the name uncultured bacterium. RNAcentral's name for it is "bacterial SSU rRNA". It matches the Rfam family "Bacterial small subunit ribosomal RNA", at positions 68 to 903 of the family's 1533-position model. The record is from RNAcentral.
CGAUAUUGGAAGCUUGCUUCCGAUAGGCGUCGACCGGCGCACGGGUGAGUAACGCGUAUCCAACCUGCCCACCACUUGGGGAUAACCUUGCGAAAGUAAGACUAAUACCCAAUGAUAUCUCUAGAAGACAUCUGAAGGAGAUUAAAGAUUUAUCGGUGAUGGAUGGGGAUGCGUCUGAUUAGCUUGUUGGCGGGGUAACGGCCCACCAAGGCUACGAUCAGUAGGGGUUCUGAGAGGAAGGUCCCCCACAUUGGAACUGAGACACGGUCCAAACUCCUACGGGAGGCAGCAGUGAGGAAUAUUGGUCAAUGGGCGAGAGCCUGAACCAGCCAAGUAGCGUGCAGGAUGACGGCCCUAUGGGUUGUAAACUGCUUUUAUAAGGGAAUAAAGUGAGAGUCGUGACUCUUUUUGCAUGUACCUUAUGAAUAAGGACCGGCUAAUUCCGUGCCAGCAGCCGCGGUAAUACGGAAGGUCCGGGCGUUAUCCGGAUUUAUUGGGUUUAAAGGGAGCGUAGGCCGGAGAUUAAGCGUGUUGUGAAAUGUAGAUGCUCAACAUCUGCACUGCAGCGCGAACUGGUUUCCUUGAGUACGCACAAAGUGGGCGGAAUUCGUGGUGUAGCGGUGAAAUGCUUAGAUAUCACGAAGAACUCCGAUUGCGAAGGCAGCUCACUGGAGCGCAACUGACGCUGAAGCUCGAAAGUGCGGGUAUCGAACAGGAUUAGAUACCCUGGUAGUCCGCACGGUAAACGAUGGAUGCCCGCUGUUGGUCUGAAUAGGUCAGCGGCCAAGCGAAAGCAUUAAGCAUCCCACCUGGGGAGUACGCCGGCAACGGUGCAACUCA